Molecule: small RNA, 22 nt
Filed under: Arabidopsis thaliana (thale cress)
Lineage: Eukaryota; Viridiplantae; Streptophyta; Magnoliopsida; Brassicales; Brassicaceae
Description: ATSL048860
Source: RNAcentral
ACACAAAACACAAAAAAAACUA